Ostrea edulis (European flat oyster) is the source of this 13519-nucleotide long non-coding RNA. RefSeq lists it as uncharacterized. NCBI's taxonomy places the organism in Eukaryota, Metazoa, Mollusca, Bivalvia, Ostreida, Ostreidae. The record is from RefSeq and is a predicted model, not a curated record. The transcript is spliced from 2 exons.
AUGCCAACUUUCCCGAUUUGUGCGGGAUUCUCCCGAUUUGAAGCAGUUGAAAAGGCAAAUCCCGAUAUCCCGAUCGGGAUUGCAAAAAUACCCCGGAAUCCCGAUUUUCUAAAAAUAUCUCCCAUUUUACGACAACAAACCCCCAUUUCCAACCGGAAUUUGAAAUCCCGCGUCAUUUCUGAACUGGCCAAUCAGAAAUCGGGACAAUAGUCAGCCAUUGCUGUUUACCUGUGUCGCAUGGUAUCGGGGUGAUGUAAUUUACCUGGUCUGCCUGUGUCGGGGUGCUUAUUGGACAGUGCGAAGCAUGUUUUUAUAGUAUGGAUUUCAAAUUGACAUAUCCUUUACACAAACGUGAAUGACAACGAUAAUAGUGUCACCAUGCACCACCAAACAAUCGGACAUUCCCGAUUUUUUGCCUCUCGCUGACAGCAUCCAAAAUAUGCAAUAAGAUGUCAUGGGUGCAAAGGUUUUGUUCGCAAACUUCAUAGCAGGGCAGACUACUCCUUUUCUGGUUGCAAUGCAGAUUGUUCCACCAGACUCGGCAAGCCCAUGUUUACAGACAACCAAGAUUGCCUUUGUAGUCGUACCUAAAUGCAUGUGCUUCAAUUUAAAUUUUGAAAUAUAGACCAGCCAAUGUGUAUAUGGUGUAAAAGGAUGUAACUUUAAGUAUUAUUUGAUAUUUGUAUGUGACUUGUUGGAGAAGAUUUUUUGCUGAAUAGAUAAUUUUAAUAAAAUACUUAUGUAUAUCUUUCAAAGUGUUUUUUUUUUUUUAUAGUUUUGUUCAAGUCAAUGGUCAAACACACUUGGUGUUGUGUUAAUGUAUGAUGCAUGUAUAAUGAUUAGAUUGAUAUUUUAUUUGAAAAGACAAAUAUUUAUUUUCAUGGUAAAAUGUCGUGAAUUUUGAGCGUUGAAAAAAGGUCGUCGCGCGCAAAAUCCCCCAUGGGGAUUUUCAAAAGUUGGCAUGUAUGAAGAAGAUGUAAUUUAAGUGUUUUACACAUAAACACUAUAUAACAAGUUUGGCCUGCCCUGGGAUCAGAACCCCUUCCCAGGGAUCGAAAUUAACUUUUUUCACUACUAGUUUAGCUUGUGGAUUAUUUUCCAACUAGCAAAAUUGAGCUUUUACUAGCAUUUUUCAAACGAUUGCUGUUUUACAGGAAUUUAAGAAAACAAACAUAUAUCUAUAUCAAAAUAUAGGGAAAAUCUUUUAAAAUCUUCUUUAAAGUGCAAUAAUAAAAAUAAUUUUGAGGAUUCUUUCAUUUCAAUUUUAAUGAAUUAUCAGACAACAUACAUGUAUCAUUGGUGCAUGAUGAGGGUCAUAGGGUACACUUGUGCGGCGAACUCGCUGUGCAGAGAUCUACCACCUAUUUACAACAUCAUGUGGUUUGAAAUCUUGAAGACUGUCUGUGUCAAUUCAAACUAUAUCUUCAAAACUUUUGGAAAUUUCAUCUAAAAAAUUUUAGUUGAAAAAAAACCCCGAACUCUAAGUGUUUGACUACAGACUUCAGAAAGACACUGCGUGAAGCGGUGACACUAACACUUUCAUGUGUUGUUUCAUGUAAACACAGAUGAGAUCAACAUGCUUGCUAUUUAAAUCAGAUGUCUCUGAGACGCCCGAAGUGUGCAUGAAGUAGGUCAUCUUCGACAUCACUGACUGAGAUAUUUAUUCGAUCAACGUUUACUUUUCCAAUAUUUGUAUAUUCAUUCCAUAAAGCAUUUCUAUGCACAAGACAAAAUUAUUGUAAACUUCAAAGUGCAGCCAAUAAACCAAGGAAAUCCGGAAAAAAGAUCUUUUUUUUUUUUCACUCGCUAAAAGCUGCGAUCACUUGUGAUUUUUCACUCGCUAUGUCAAUUUUUAACUCGCAUUUAGCGAGUAUUUCCCCUUAAUUUCGUUGCCUGCCUUCCCCGGGGAUCAUGAAAUUUACAAUUUUGGUAGAGACCUUCCUGCUCUACAUCACUAUGCAUUUAGUUUUUCUUCCAUAUAUGUGGUUCUUGAGAAGAAGAUUUUUGAAAAUUGGACAAUUUUGGACAGUUUUUGCCCUGCCCCUAGGGCCCCAGGGGUGCUGGAGUCCUGAAAUUUACAAUUUAUGUUCCCCUUGUUCCAAAUAUGUUUCAUACCAAAUUUGAAAAGAAUUGGAAUGAUAGUUAUCAAGAAGAAGUUAAAAAUGUCUAUUGUUCAUACAUUUAAUAACUGACCAUUUUGGUCCCACCCUGAUACCAAAACCCCUACCCCUGGAAUAAUCAAAUUUACAAUUUUGGUAAAGGACUACCUGUUCUUCCUAAAUAUCUAUUUACUUUCAAUUUAGUAUCAAUAGCAUUAAAGAUGUAAUUUAAGUGUUUUACACAUAAACACUAUAUAACAAGUUUGGCCCUGCCCUGGGGUCAGAACCCCUACCCCAGGGAUCAUGAAAUUUACAAUUUUGGUAGAGGCCUUCCUGCUCUACAUCACUAUGCAUUUAAAUUUUCUUACAUGUUGUGGUUCUUGAGAAGAAGAUUUUUGAAAAUUGGUCAAUUUUGGGCAGUUUUUGCCCUGCACCUAGGGCCCCAGGGGUGCUGGAGUCCUGAAAUUUACAAUUUAUGUCCCCCUUGUCCCAAUGAUGCUAAAUACCAAAUUUGAAAAGAAUUGGACUGGUAGUUAUUAAGAAGAAGUUAAAAAUGUUCAAUUGUUAACGCACGACGGACAACGGCGGAUGAAAACCCAUUGCAAUUGGUCACCUGAGUAAACUCAAAAAGUGGAAAGUACAAAAAUCACAAAUCUGAACAAAACUCUUACACUUUUGUGUAUAACGAUAGCAAAUGUUAACAAGAGGCCCAUGGGCCACAUCGCUCAUCUGAGUCACCUUGGCCCAUAUCUGAAGACUUUCCAUAUAUAUUUGCAUGUAAAACCUUAGUCCCUAUUCUGGCCCCAACCUACCCCUGGGGGCCAUGAUUUUUUCAAACUUGAAUCUGCACUAUGUCAGAAAGCUUUCAUGUAAAUGUCAACUUCUUUGGCCCAAUGGUUUUUGAGCAGAUUUUUAAAGAUUUUCCCUAUAUAUUUGUAUGUAAAACUUUCAUUCCCUAGUGUGACUGCAACCUAAACCCGGGGGCCAUACUUUGAACAAACUUGAAUCUGCACUAUGUCAGAAAGCUUUCAUGUAAAUCUCAGCUUUUCUGGCUCAGUGGUUCUUGGGAAGAUUUUUAAAGAUUUCCCCUAUAUAUUUGUAUGCAAAACUUUGAUCCCCCUUGUGGCCACAUCCUACUCCCAGGGGCCAUGAUUUGAACAAACUUAAAUCUGCACUAUGUCAGAAAGCUUUCAUGUACAUAUCAGCUUUUCUGGCUCAGUGGUUCUUGAGAAGAACAUUUUUAAAGAUUUUCCCUGUAUGUCAAAGUUGACUCAUAGGUUAUCGUUAUCCAGAAAUAUGAAAAUGAAAGUAGAAAUCCAAUUGGUGACAAAAAAGGUAUUGCAGCUAUAUGCUUUGUGCUUUAAUGAAACUUAUCUCCAUUCCAAUGUUGUUUGUCAAUCCAAUGAGCCAAUUUCAAUCAGAUUGCUUUUGAGUCUAUGUAUCAUUAACAGAAUCAGAUUCUUAAGCAUUGAUUCAACCAUGACAAUGUAAUUACUACAUCUGGAAAGAGUUGAAAGCAUUUCUUACCAGAUCUUUGGCUGUCUGACUGACAUCAUCCCAUUCUGGGCUUCCAAAAGUGUAAUUUGCCUGCAUAAUCAUUCUUAACAUCUGCAUCUGUUUGCGAUGCCAGAAGGGUGGUGCACCACACAGUAAGGUGUACAUAAUGACACCACAGGCCCACAUGUCCACUUCCAUACGGUACCCUGGGACAUUAUCAUACAUAGAGACAGCUAGGACCUCUGGAGCAAGAUACCCUGGUGUUCCACAUAAUUCUGCAAAGGAAAUAUAUGUCUAUGUGCAAACUAAGUAAUGAAUCAGUCUUUCAGGGUCUUACUGACCAACUUUUGAAGAAUACGUUAAAUGUAAAAUUUUCAGCAUUCUGCUCAGGCUGUAAACACACAUAUAAAUCCCUGCAGAAGCUUCAAAAGCACAUCAUAAGCAAACUAUUUGUAAGCUAUUAAUGGGUAUGAAUACUGUCAUGAUUGUUGAAGAUUACACAAACUAGCACUCUCUUGGUAUUAAGGCUUAUGGAGUCAAACAGUUACAGAUCUAACAGCUGAUGACACAAAAAUCAUGAUUCACGGAGAUAAAUUAAUACAGUCCCUGAUACGUUCUUCAUUCCCACUUGAACGGUGAAUGAAUGCAGAGCGAACGAUUAACGCAAUUUGGUGAAUGGUGAGUGAAUGCAAAACGCGAACGGAGUGCAGAGUGAACAGUGAACACAAGAUGAUCUAUUCAUUUUGAGUGUUUUAGACUUUUCCUCUACGAUUGUAUUAUUUCAUAAUCAGUAAGAAAAAAGAUAUGUAUAGUAUAAUUUGUCCAAACCGGCCUCUGAGUACUACGGUGCUCUGUCAAUUCCAGCCACGAAAUAUAGUCCCUGACAUUUCUUUAACAAAUCCUUUAUUAAUAAUUCCCUGUACUCCGGAUACUGCGGACACCAUGUUUAUGAUGUUGUGACCUAGUACUAGCUACCCUAAACAUUAUGAACAGACAAAGAAUAGCCUUCAACAGGGACUCGAGGGAGUUCGUGGUGUUAUCCUGAAGAGACUCCCAACCAUUAAGUAAGUGAUUUACACACUAGUGUAUCUUGUAGGUUCUUUGACUUCAUGCCAGUCAUGAUCACUAAUAAUCAGAAAUUCCUCCGAUUCUUAUCCCUUUCACAUUUGUGUCUGAUGAUCUUCACUGCACACAACAUAUAAGGAAAGCAAGGGUAACAGUCAGAGGUAUCUUGAAUUAUGUAACUCAUGUGUCUUUUGUAAAGUAGGAUAAUGAAAUUUGCUAGUCUAUAUACGUCUAUUGUCGGACACUGAGACGAUUUUCAUUUGCUAUCCGGCACUUGAUAACCCGCGAUUUGCAUCAACUAGAUAUCUACUCGCUAGACACAGUAAUGCUAUUUCAUUUGUAACACCUCAUAGUUUACCACUCUUAUUAUGUACAAAGCAGGUCAAACUGAAAUAACUUAACGUUGGCAUUAUGGUUAAAACCAGCUCGAUCCGCUCCUUUAUUUUUAUGUUGUCGCUAUACGAGGAGCUGAUUUUAAUGAGAUUGGUCCGAAGAAACAGUAAGAGUUAUCAAUUGACAAGUAAAAAUUUAAGUUGAUAGCACAAGUGACCAGUGAUUAGAAAUAUUUAUUUACGGUCCUGUAAUUUGGUUAUAGGAAGGUCUAAAGACCAUAUGGUAUCCUUUAAUUAUUUACAAUUUCAUUUCUCUUUCAGAAUAUAAUUCAUGAUAGAUACAGAAUUUAUAUGGUGUGCAGACCACUGACCAGGCUGGUUUCAAUAUGCCAUUCUGAGAAUUACACUAUGCAGACCUGGAUGAAUGUUAUAUAGUUCCAAAAUGAGUUUACUCUGAAUGACACUUAAUUCAGUUCAUGCACAUUUUAGGUAAGUCCAAUGAGACUGCUAGGCCUAUAUGUAUUGUGGAUGAGAAUUCCAUGAUCCUGAUAUGUCUUAAAGGAGUAGGUACGGUUUUGACCAAAUUCUGCCCGGCAUUUAUGGAGGAAAAUUAUUUUGCGAUGCAGAUAUUUUCCUGUCAAAUUCCUAAAAGAGUAACUUAUAGUAACUCUCAAAAGCAUAUGGAAAUCAACUCAUCUACGCGCAUGCGUAGUACAUAAUCAAAUAAAGUAAGGGCUUUCAGGCUAUUUGUGGUGUUUUCAUGGUUUUUGUAUUGAUAAACUUGUGAAAUUGAACACCUCUUCCCUCGUCGCCCGGAAUAAUUUUUAUAUGGAUUAAAAAUUUACUAAAUAACUUACAAUUCUUCUUGGUUUCACCCCGGGCGACGAUGGAAGAGGGGUUAAAAUAUCAGUUGAAAGAUGCUAACAAAUUCGCCAUCGUGACGCAAUUUGCGUUGAUCGUGGUGGUUGAAGAGGAAACGAGAAUCAUCUGAGUAGUAAAUAUAUUUUCAAAUAAUAUAUGCUCAUAUAGUUAUUUAUUUAAACACUUUGACAUUUAUUAAAAUCAUCAUAAUAAUAAAAAUCUGGAUAAAUUUAAGCCUAUCUUACAGACCGGAUGCCAUUUUUGUUGUUAUGACUAUAGUGUAAACAGAACGGUGUAUCAUACUCAUAAUAUACCAACUGACGAUUCGUGAGAAUUCAUGUUACAUAUAACGAUGGACGAUUCUUUUAAUAAAUAAUAUAUUCCUUGAAGAUUCAAGCAUUAUUUUAUACCAUUCACAUUCAUUUGAUUAAAUGGGAAACGGCAUGCGGUAUAUUACAUGUAACAGCAGACGACAAUAUCCACCUAGGUACGUACGUACAUCAGUGAUGUCUUUAUGACAAAGAUUUUGGUUCAAUGUCACUAUUUUUAUUAUAUACUCAAAUUGGCAAUGAGCUAUUACAAGGAAAAGAAAUAAAACACAAUAUUGUUUCUUUCCAAAAAUAUACAACAUAUCAAAUACUCAGUCAACAAAGACAUUGUCAUGAAUAUUUUGGGAAAAAAUAAACACAAAUACAACAAUAGCAUACCCCAAUUGUAUGGCAGUGCCACACCCAAUUAAACCCGUCUCACCGGAACAAAGAGGUGGCCAUUAUGAAUAAUAAAGAAAAUUGUAUAAACUCAUUGUCGAAAUUACUAAAGAAAUAUUUCACUGCUAUAACGCAUUAGAAUUGUUAUAACUAUAAAUGAACGUUAGCAUAUUUAUGAAAUUAAUAAAAUGCUAAAUGUUACUAUAGUAGAAUUACAUGUAUUGAUACUGAUAAUAUUUAUCCAAAAUAAAAUAUCAAAAACAUUUUAUAAUUUGCUUACCAAUAUUUAAAAUGUGUUACCCCGAACUCUAUUCGAACACCCUGUGAACUGUGUGUAGGGCGGCGUCAGAAUGAAGAGCGUGCACAUAUAGUGAGCGAAUUAUAAAUAAGCCGACAAACCGGUUUUAAUAUUCCAAGUAAUCAAAUAUAAUUUAUAAAUUUCUUAAUUACCUGGACUAUUGUUAUAAACACAAAAUACUAAUAUUAAAUUGUAUCUGAAACUUAAAUACAUUAUUUUGCAUAUUUUUUAAUCUCAAAGAAAAUGAUUCGCAAGGACAGAACUUUUUAAAUAACUCUCAAUCAAUUACAGCGCGCAGUUCGUGAUAAAAUUCUGCAAUACGAUUUAUGCGUCACAUAUUUAGUGCGAGUGUAACAUUUUAUAUUUUUCAAAGACAACAAUUUAUUUGUUAGAAAGUUUACGAUGGUUAUUCACGAAUAUAAAAUUUUAGCACACUAUCUAUAAUUAUACAUCGCCGCGGUGCCCGAGCGGUUAGAGCGUUCACCCCGCAUGCGGAAGGCCCGGGGUUCGAAUCCCGGCCGCCACAGACCUAAGUCGUUAAAACAGGUAGUGACAGUUCCAUCGUCAAACGCUCUGCAUUAGAUGUGAAUGUCACAGGUCCUCGGAGAUGACCUUAAAAACGAAUGACCGGUGUCAAAAUAUGGCACUGGAGGUCUUCAGUGUUCUACUAUAUCUGCAAUGGUUACAAAACUAUUUCGUUGUUUGGGGAACACUAAUUCACUUUCAUUUUUGAAAACACAAUACAAAAGAAAAAAAGUUUGUGUAGCUAAGAUAGGGAUUAAUAUACAUUUCUUGCAAGGCACUUUCUACUUGCAUUAGUCCUAGAAGGAAUAUAUGUUACUCAUUAAAAUUAUUUUUAAAUGGUAUGAUUGAGGUGCCUGAAAGAUAAUUUGCUUCAAAUGUGUUACUCGUAUUACGAUUAUGUAUUUUAAUUUACAAUGAUUGAAAUAGAUUAUGGGCGCAUAGAUCGUUUUUCAAAAAAAAAAAGGGGGGGGGGGUUGACUUCUCGAAAACAUUGACAAACACAAAAAUAGGGAUUUUGGUAUCAUUGGAGUGGGUUGAUUACAUGUAUCCAAUGUAUCACUUACAAUUACAUUUCAUCUAUCUUUAUCUACUACUAUAAAAUACAGUCUGGGGGAGGGGGUUUACACAAAGCGAAUACACAACAUAUGGAUAUAUACAAAUAUAAUAUUGAGACUCGCGAAUGAUUUUUGUAUUUUUCAACUUUUAAGAGGGUUUCUUUGGGCAAAAGUGGAUACAAUGACACUAAAUUGCACAAACCAAGUGUUGGGGUGUACCAGCUUUGUAUCGCUCAGUUGUACAGUACCGAACACAUUGACGAUUUUUUUGUGGAGAAGCCUGAUAGUGGAGAGUGUGUGUGAAUAUGUGUAUGAGAGACGGUCUGUUUGAGACAUGGUAUAUUAUGAGAGAGAGAGAGAGAGAGAGAGAGAGAGAGAGAGAGAGUAUUUUGACUUAAAAAGUUUUUCAUGUUUUGUUAGUUUAUUUUACGUCCUUUCGAGAACUUUUCACUCAAAUUGAGAAAUGAUAAUAACAAUAAUGAUUAAUAAUAAUGAUUGGUUUUAUAUAGCGCCUUUUCCAGCGUAUGCUGCUCAAAGCGCUUUACAAUAAUCAAUGUACAUUAUUACCCCGGCAGACCUUAUAUCAAUCUAGAACUUUCUCAGCCUCCUAGGAAGCAUACAGUGCAAGCUGCCAUUACAAGCGCUAGAGCACUAACAUUCUAACAAUAUCUUUCACUGUCUAUAGCCAGGUACCCCUUUACACUUGGGUGGAGUGAGGAAAUCCAUGUAAAGUGCCUUUCUCAAGGACACAACGUCAGCCCUGCCGCGGCCAGGACUCGAACCCAUGACCUUUCGGUCAAGAGUUUGACGGCCUAACCACUCGGCCACCGACGCCAAAAAAAUCAUCAGCUGUAUGUGAAGUACCACAUAUAAAACCUAUGCUUAGCACUUAAGGCUAUAGCAUUGAUUUUUUUUUAACGUGCCAACACCUGUUGUGACACAGGACCUCCUUUUUUAAGGUCACGAAAAACUGAAGAUAUUGAAUAGUGAUGAAUUCGAAUUUGCGUAAUUUCUAUCAAGAAUACAAAAUAAAGAGUAGGGCAAACACGGACCCCUGGACACAGCCGAGGUGGCAUCAGGUGCCUAUCUGAAAGACCCAUGAUUCUCACUUUUGUCGAAGAGCAUAUGUAUAUCUACGUCUCAGGUUCGACGUGGCAUGUCAUGAGCGGGGUUCGAACACACUAUACCUCCCGGUUACGAAGCGAAUUCCCUACCACUGAUAACCGUAACCGUUUCAUAAUUAUCUUCCCUUUGAAGUUGUGUUUCUAGUUUCUCAGAAACACUGCGUUUUUUCCUGAGUAUACCUAUGAAAUGACAUUUUGCUCCAACUUAAUACCACGCAUAUAAUAUUGAGAAUAUACAUAUAUGGAAUAUUGCGUAUGCCAAUUAAAAACAAAUGCCGAUGAAUUCUAUUGUGUUCCGAUUCAUGAAGAAUUACAUUGGUGAUAACCCAAACUUCGCAUAAAAUUCAGUGAUUUGAAUUUGAGCUGCCUUUGAUGUCAUCAUUUUUUUUUUCCGAAUGCACGCGAGACUCUAACAAAUAUUUUUAAAAAUCUUAAAAUUCGCCACAAUAAAGGAAGUUGGAGGCAGAAAUAAGAGAUCACUGUUACCAGUAUAUAAAUGUUUCUUUAAUUAAUUUGGUGUUCAAACCAUUAUAUUUCUGCACCAGAAAAGCUUUCCGCGAAUACCUGCAGUUUUUGCCCCUGUGCGGCAUAUCUGAUGUGGUUUCAAUUUUCAUUUAAUAUCCAUUCAAAUCAGUACAAAAACCAAUAAUUUCGCAUUUACUAAGAAUUAAUACUUCUAUGUGUGAUACAGUUUUUAUUUUCCUACUCAAAACAUCGCUUGGGGAGAACUCUCGUAUAUUACGUCAAAAUUAACGUCAAAUUUGGUGACGUCGUCAGGUUAAUAUAAAGUUUUCCGUUGAAAAUAUUACAGCUGCUAUGGUAGAUAAAGAAUAACAAUGGCCAUUUUCAUAACUGGCACAUUAUCAAAUACCAGAUUUAGUAUUUUGGUGAAUUUCCUUGACGGCAGAUUUUGGCUAAAAUCGUACCUUGUUCUUUGUCUGACAGCAAGUCAAAUUGGGAUGAAUUUAAUUCCACAAUCAGUUUCAAAUCACUGAUUUAAUUUGAACAGAUCAUACAAACUGUUUCUAUUAAUUUUGAAUUGAUAUAUAACAUGCCCACAAAAUAAUUGCAUUAUUAUUUUUUUUUUUAGAAUGUACAUCAUCAAUGUUCUCCCAAGGGAAAGUGAGCAAAAACUUAUCCAGACAAUCAACAGCAUAUUUUUGUGAAACUUAUUAAAAUGUGCAGGUAAUAUUGCUGUUAAAAUAUUUUGUAUCCUAUGACUGAUAUAACUUUAACCUUAGUUAUAACUUUUCAACUAAAAUGGGUAGGGAUUUUAUAUUUACCAUUUUUAUUCUUUGUGACAAGAAAAAAUUGUUUUAAUAUAUAUAUAAAAAAGUACUGCAUUAAUGACCUUUUGACCUACUAAGGCUUUCUGAUGGUACCAAAAUUUGAUCUUCUGAACUUGACAUGAAUUUUGACCGACUUGUCUGAAAAGCGUUAAGUUUGGGGGCAUCCAUGGUUCACCAUGUUCACAUUCAUGUCUUGUUGCUGUUCAGACUAUGAAAAGAUGUUGCUGUUAAGAAUGAUUACCAUAGCACAACCAUUUAAUGCAAUAUUAGAUAAGUUCAAAUAUUUUCAUUGCAAUCUUGGUAUUGUAUUGCGUGUGUUAAUCAUUUAUGAUGAAAAUGUUUUAUUUUAAUUUCUUCAUUUAUGCACUUAUUUACAUGUAUUUGUUAGAUUUUAAUCGAAUUAAUCUAAGAGAAUAUAAUAUAUCAGUAUAUUUUUAAAAUUUAGAAGGUUAAAAGAGACGAAACAGGUGUAAAAUAAAGAUAAUUUAGAGCGUCAAGUCAACUGAAUUAAAGACAAAGAAGAGUACGUGCAGUAAACUACAUUUGUAUUGUGAUUUCGUUUGAUUAUAUUUCAUCAAAUGGUUUUUUUUUAAUUAUUUGCAGGAGAAAUAGGAUUACGAAGAAGAGAAGUUUGUCAUAAUUUUUUAUAGCAUGAAUUAAAUACAAUUUCUCAUAUAUUAAGAUUCUUCAUUUUUUCAGGACAAUAAUUGGUAAUAUUCAUGAAAACUAGCAGAGCUCCAAUACAUUUGAAGUGUUAGUCAAGUAUACUUUAGGAGAAGCAAGCAAAGUCUGGAAAAUGUCCUAAAUGGUAUCCGAAAAGUGCCUAAAAUGGUACCCAGAGUGUGCCUAAAAUGGUACUUAUGCUGUACCCGGAAAGUACCUAAAAUGUACCCAGUUUGUACCCAAAAUGGCACCAGGUUUGUACCUAAAAUUGUACCCUUAAAGUACCUAUAAUGUACCCAGUUUGUACCUAAAAACUGUCUAAAUUGGUAACCAGAUUUUACCAAUAAUGUACCUGCAUGAAUAGUACCGGAAUUGUACCUAAAAUGUACCUGAAAAGUUUCUGAAAUGGUACCCGGAUUGUACCUGAAAAGUACCUAAAAUGUACCCGAAUUGUAUCAAUAAUGUACCCUGAAAAUGUAUCAAAGAAAUGUACCCCAAAAUGGGAACAACAAUGUUGACAAAAUUGUACCUAAAAGGUACCCCAAAAAUAGAAACUUUCAAAGUUGAAAUAAUAAUGUACCCAAAAGGUACCCCAAAAAUUAAAACCUGAAAAAGUUGUAUGGGAAAGAAAAAUGUACCCAAAAAAGUACCCGCUUGCAGGUAAAAAAAAAAUUAAAGUGCGGUUCCAAAUAGGGUAGUGUUUCGGGUAUCUUUUAAAUACAUUCCGGAUACCUUUUGGGCAUGAUUCCGGGUACUUUUACCGGUACCCAAUGUGUACCCCAAAAGUACUUAAAGUGUACUCCAAACAUUAUCGCAAUUCACCUUUGAAUUAGAACGCUUUGGCCGAUAUAGUAUUGCGUUGUGUGAUAACACAAUUGAAUCUGUUUGUAAUACAAUUGCUAAAUGCAACAGAAACUCUCAUUGGUCCAUAUGUAUAAGUCCGCCCAAAUUCCCUUAUACGGCAUUUGAAAACAUGACGGCCAGAUGGAAACAAACUUCAAAGGAAGAAAGAGAAAAAGUUGUAUUCUUGUGUUGUUGUCUCAAAAAUUUAAUAUCAAAAAAUUCCUAACAUAUUUUCCUACUAUACUUAAUUGUGUCCAAAUAUACCUUCAAAUAUUUAUUAAAGCCCCAUACGACCCAAAAACUCACAGCUUUUGAUGAUUUCGUUCGUUGACGUAGCCAUGUAAGGUAACCACUCAAUUCGAAUCCCGGUUCAUUUCCAUAUCGCACAAUAGCGUCUAGAUGUAAACCAAUACCCCACAAAUAUUUCAGCUAAAUAUUUUAAAUAAUAUAUCAUCCCAGUUCCAUUAAAUGAUAAUUAUUCAAAUAGCUAAACUCACGGCAAUGCAGCUUUCAUUAGUCUGGGCAGGUCUCCAUCUCUGCCACACGAGUGUUAAGGACCAUAAUGGGCUUUAGCAUUUCGUUAAUCAAGAGCUUAUUUUACCUUUACCAAAACUAUAUCUUUUAAUUUCUAUUAAUUAUUCAUGUUGAUAAUUAAUGAAGAGCGAAUACAUAACUUACAACUAAUUGUAUGAAUAGAUACCAAUAGCAACAGAGUUCGAAUUGACCGGCUACCUAACAUGGCUAUGUCAACAAACGAAAUCAUUUGAAGCUGCGAGUUUUCAGGUCGUGUGUGGCUUUAAUGAAUAUUUGAAGGUAGUUUGGACACAAGUAUAGUUGGAAAAUAUGUUAAGAUUUUUUUAUAUUGAAUUUAUGAGACAGCAACACAAGAAUACACUGAUAACGCUAUAUCAGCUAGGCCUCAACCGUGGGCAGCUUUUUGUGCCCCGUAAAUCGAAAGUUUUUAUAAGAGAUGGAUCUGUAGCUCUCUGUUCCGUCACAAUAUUUUUUCAGAGAGCUACAGUUCUCCAGCAAGUAAUUUUCUAGUCCAUCCAUCUUAUCUGAUUAGAUCACCGGGUCACCUGAAUCAGCUCGAGACAGUGGACGGGCUGUAAUCGGCCAAUGAAAACUCUUGUUGUAUUACAUCAAACAUGUCAUUCAAACUGCAAUCGUCUCAUUCAAAUUGUGUCGUCACACAACGCAAUACUAUAUCGGGUAAAGCGUUCUAAUUCAAAGGUGAAUUGCGAUAAAAACUUAGAAAGUUGUAUGGGAAAGAAUAAUGUACCCAAAAAAGUACCCGCCUGCAGGAAAAUUUUUUUUAAAGUGCGGUUCCAAAUAGGGUACUGUUUCGGGUACCUUUUGGGUACAUUCCGGGUACUUUUUACGGUACCCAAUGUGUACCCCAAAAGUACCCAUAUGAUACCCGAAAAGUACCCCAAAGUGUACCCGGAAUGUACCUAUAUUUUCUGUAAGGGUCAGCACAGUAUGGUGCAAAACAUGAAAUAAAUUCUUAAUCUAACGAAGAUGUGUAUCAUUGUAACUAGUGGUAGUAAAUGUAUAGUGCUUGUCAUUGUGCGUAUUAUGUAAACAAGUGCAUGACUUAGCCAAAAUGUACACAGCUCUCCCCUUUUAAACAUGAUCGCUUUAUACUUUUCCCAUACUUGG